RNAcentral lists this ribosomal RNA (690 nucleotides) under Salmonella enterica subsp. enterica serovar Carrau. RNAcentral's name for it is "bacterial LSU rRNA". It matches the Rfam family "Bacterial large subunit ribosomal RNA", at positions 1 to 722 of the family's 2925-position model. The record is from RNAcentral. Lineage: Bacteria; Pseudomonadati; Pseudomonadota; Gammaproteobacteria; Enterobacterales; Enterobacteriaceae.
GGGUUGUGAGGUUAAGCGACUAAGCGUACACGGUGGAUGCCCUGGCAGUCAGAGGCGAUGAAGGGCGUGCUAAUCUGCGAUAAGCGCCGGUAAGGUGAUAUGAACCGUUAUAACCGGCGAUACCCGAAUGGGGAAACCCAGUGUGACUCGUCACACUAUCAUUAACUGAAUCCAUAGGUUAAUGAGGCGAACCGGGGGAACUGAAACAUCUAAGUACCCCGAGGAAAAGAAAUCAACCGAGAUUCCCCCAGUAGCGGCGAGCGAACGGGGAGGAGCCCAGAGCCUGAAUCAGCAUAUGUGUUAGUGGAAGCGUCUGGAAAGGCGCGCGAUACAGGGUGACAGCCCCGUACACAAAAGCGCAUGUGCUGUGAGCUCGAUGAGUAGGGCGGGACACGUGGUAUCCUGUCUGAAUAUGGGGGGACCAUCCUCCAAGGCUAAAUACUCCUGACUGACCGAUAGUGAACCAGUACCGUGAGGGAAAGGCGAAAAGAACCCCGGCGAGGGGAGUGAAAAAGAACCUGAAACCGUGUACGUACAAGCAGUGGGAGCACAGGUUUACCUGUGUGACUGCGUACCUUUUGUAUAAUGGGUCAGCGACUUAUAUUCUGUAGCAAGGUUAACCGAAUAGGGGAGCCGGAGGGAAACCGAGUCUUAAUUGGGCGUUAAGUUGCAGGGUAUAGACCCGAAACC